CCUACGGGAGGCAGCAGUGGGGAAUUGUUCACAAUGGGCGCAAGCCUGAUGACGCAACGCCGCGUGGGGGAUGAAGGUCUUCGGAUCGUAAACCCCUGUCGAAUGGGACGAAUAGUCUCCGGACCAAUACCCCGGAGGAAUGACGGUACCGUUAAAGGAAGCCACGGCUAACUCUGUGCCAGCAGCCGCGGUAAUACAGAGGUGGCAAGCGUUGUUCGGAAUUACUGGGCGUAAAGGGCGCGUAGGCGGCCAUCUAAGUCAGACGUGAAAUCCCCCGGCUCAACCUGGGAACUGCGUCUGAUACUGGAAGGCUAGAGUUUGGGAGAGGGAUGUAGAAUUCCAGGUGUAGCGGUGAAAUGCGUAGAUAUCUGGAGGAAUACCGGUGGCGAAGGCGGCAUCCUGGACCAAUACUGACGCUGAGGCGCGAAAGCUAGGGGAGCAAACGGGAUUAGAUACCCCGGUAGUCCUAGCCCUAAACGAUGAAUACUUGGUGUGGCGGGUAUCGAUCCCUGCCGUGCCGAAGCUAACGCAUUAAGUAUUCCGCCUGGGGAGUACGGUCGCAAGGCUGAAACUUAAANGAAUUGACGG
This 588-nucleotide ribosomal RNA is filed under the name uncultured bacterium. RNAcentral describes it as "bacterial SSU rRNA". It matches the Rfam family "Bacterial small subunit ribosomal RNA", at positions 338 to 916 of the family's 1533-position model. The record is from RNAcentral.